GUGAGGAAUAUUGGUCAAUGGGCGAGAGCCUGAACCAGCCAUCCCGCGUGCAGGAUGACGGCCCUAUGGGUUGUAAACUGCUUUUCUGCUCCAAGAAACCUGAUUACGUGUAAUCAGUUGACGGUAGAGUAGGAAUAAGCAUCGGCUAACUCCGUGCCAGCAGCCGCGGUAAUACGGAGGAUGCAAGCGUUAUCCGGAUUCAUUGGGUUUAAAGGGUGCGCAGGUGGGAAUGUAAGUCAGUGGUGAAAUACUGCCGCUUAACGGUAGAGCUGCCAUUGAUACUGCGUUUCUUGAGUAUGGUUGAGGUAGGUGGAAUGUGUUGUGUAGCGGUGAAAUGCAUAGAUAUGACACAGAACGCCGAUUGCGAAGGCAACUUACUAAGCCAUUACUGACGCUGAGGCACGAAAGCGUGGGUAGCGAACAGGAUUAGAAACCCCUGUAGUCC
This 445-nucleotide ribosomal RNA is filed under the name uncultured bacterium. RNAcentral describes it as "bacterial SSU rRNA". It matches the Rfam family "Bacterial small subunit ribosomal RNA", at positions 354 to 796 of the family's 1533-position model. The record is from RNAcentral.